This 424-nucleotide ribosomal RNA is filed under the name Verrucomicrobiota bacterium. Its description in RNAcentral is "Verrucomicrobia bacterium partial 16S ribosomal RNA". It matches the Rfam family "Bacterial small subunit ribosomal RNA", at positions 355 to 776 of the family's 1533-position model. The record is from RNAcentral. Lineage: Bacteria; Pseudomonadati; Verrucomicrobiota.
UGAGGAAUAUUGGUCAAUGGGCGAGAGCCUGAACCAGCCAAGUAGCGUGCAGGAUGACGGUCCUAUGGGUUGUAAACUGCUUUUAUAUUGGAAUAAAGUGAGGGACGUGUCCCUUAUUGCAUGUACCAUACGAAUAAGGACCGGCUAAUUCCGUGCCAGCAGCCGCGGUAAUACGGAAGGUCCAGGCGUUAUCCGGAUUUAUUGGGUUUAAAGGGAGCGUAGGCUGUUUGUUAAGCGUGUUGUGAAAUGUAAGAGCUCAACUUUUAGAGUGAAACGCGAACUGGAAGUGAAGAGUGCGAACAACGUAUGCGGAAUUCAUGGUGUAGCGGUAAAAUACUUGGAUAUCAUGACGAACUCCGAUUGCGAAGGCAACUUACAGGAGCGCAACAGAAGCAAAAGCUCGAAGGUGCGGGUAUCGAACAGG